This 460-nucleotide ribosomal RNA is filed under the name uncultured bacterium. RNAcentral's name for it is "partial 16S ribosomal RNA". It matches the Rfam family "Bacterial small subunit ribosomal RNA", at positions 338 to 795 of the family's 1533-position model. The record is from RNAcentral.
CCUACGGGGGGCUGCAGUGAGGAAUAUUGGUCAAUGGACGAGAGUCUGAACCAGCCAAGUAGCGUGAAGGAUGAAGGCCCUAUGGGUUGUAAACUUCUUUUAUGUGGGAACAAAACGUUCUACGCGUGGGCUUUUGUAUGUACCACAUGAAUAAGGAUCGGCUAACUCCGUGCCAGCAGCCGCGGUAAUACGGAGGGUCCGAGCGUUAUCCGGAUUUAUUGGGUUUAAAGGGUGCGUAGGUGGAUUGUUAAGUCAGUUGUGAAAGUUUGAGGCUCAACCGUAAAAUUGCAGUUGAAACUGGCUGUCUUGAGUACAGUAGAGGUGGGCGGAAUUCGUGGUGUAGCGGUGAAAUGCGUAGAUAUCACGAAGAACUCCGAUUGCGAAGGCAGUUCACUGGACUGCAACUGACGCUGAGGCACGAAAGUGUGGGUAUCAAACAGGAUUAGAUACCCCAGUAGUC